This 148-nucleotide non-coding RNA is filed under the name Pan paniscus (pygmy chimpanzee). The record is from Rfam by way of RNAcentral. RNAcentral also lists the same sequence under 1 other name. Lineage: Eukaryota; Metazoa; Chordata; Mammalia; Primates; Hominidae.
GCUGGGCGUGGUGGCGCAUGCCUGUAAUCCCAGCUACUCAGGAGGCUGAGGCAGGAGAAUCACUUGAACCUGGGAGGUGGAGGUUGCAGUGAGCCGAGAUUGCGCCACUGCACUCCAGCCUGGGCAACAGAGCGAGACUCUGUCUCAA